AUGUCAAAGUGCACCACAGUCAAGUUCACGGCAAAGUUCCUUGUUGUGGCAAGUGGUGAGAAUAGUGCAGAGAAUAUUCCAAUGAUCCCUGGACUAGAAAGCUUUCCAGGUGAUGUCAUCCACUCCUCAAGCUACAAGUCAGGCAAGAGCUACUCUGGCAAGAAUGUAUUGGUCGUUGGAUCCGGCAACUCCGGGAUGGAAAUUGCUUAUGACCUUGCGAUCCAUGGUGCCAACACAUCGGUUGUUAUACGAAGCCCGAUUCAUGUAAUGACAAAGGAAUUAAUUCGUUUGGGCAUGACACUUGCUCACCAUCUUCCAUUGAAUCUAGUGGAUAAACUCCUUGUGAUGGCAGCGUAUUUAAUAUUUGGAGACCUGUCACGACAUGGCAUCACAAGGCCAAAAAUGGGUCCAAUGACCCUCAAAGCAGAA
RNAcentral lists this ribosomal RNA (429 nucleotides) under Triticum aestivum (bread wheat). RNAcentral's name for it is "partial small subunit ribosomal RNA". The record is from RNAcentral. Lineage: Eukaryota; Viridiplantae; Streptophyta; Magnoliopsida; Poales; Poaceae.